Molecule: long non-coding RNA, 212 nt
Filed under: Hordeum vulgare
Lineage: Eukaryota; Viridiplantae; Streptophyta; Magnoliopsida; Poales; Poaceae
Description: long non-coding RNA (HVUL_LNC003438)
Source: RNAcentral
AGUUUACCAAAUGUUACCGGCAUCAUCGUGCUCAGAUCAUGACGAGGCCAUAACCUAUCACGUUCCGCGUGACUAGGUUAUUCCACGACCUCUCACAACUAGCACAUGCCAUCACCAUAUUUCACCAUUGUUAUAAUGUGAGUAGCAUGAUUUCAUGUGAUACUAUUAUCAGCAUAACCUUGCAUCACGUAAUAUAAGCACCACCACAAUCA